UACAGAGGUCUCGAGCGUUGUUCGGAUUCAUUGGGCGUAAAGGGCGCGUAGGCGGCGGGGUAAGUCUGGUGUGAAAUCUAGGAGCUCAACUCCUAAACUGCACUGGAUACUGCUCUGCUAGAGGACUGGAGAGGAGACUGGAAUUCACGGUGUAGCAGUGAAAUGCGUAGAUAUCGUGAGGAAGACCAGUGGCGAAGGCGGGUCUCUGGACAGUUCCUGACGCUGAGGCACGAAGGUCAGGGGAGCAAACGGG
RNAcentral lists this ribosomal RNA (253 nucleotides) under uncultured bacterium. Its description in RNAcentral is "partial 16S ribosomal RNA". It matches the Rfam family "Bacterial small subunit ribosomal RNA", at positions 524 to 776 of the family's 1533-position model. The record is from RNAcentral.